Long non-coding RNA from Bolinopsis microptera, 3840 nucleotides. RefSeq lists it as uncharacterized. The transcript is spliced from 3 exons. Lineage: Eukaryota; Metazoa; Ctenophora; Tentaculata; Lobata; Bolinopsidae. The record is from RefSeq and is a predicted model, not a curated record.
UGUAUAAUGUAAUGAUUGAAUGAAUCUUUUUUCUUUUGUGGUGCAUAUAUGAUGUGAGUGACAGGUGUAAAAUCUAAAAUAUAUAAAUAUAAAUGGGGGUCUUUUCAUAGGAAAGUGUUGAAGUUUAAGUCCUGCCAGUUAAUAUUGUCAGGUUGGUGUUGAGCCUUCAUGAUAGAAAGCUUCAAUCGGGAUUUAAUUGAACCUAGUGAACCUAUUUUACCACGUGCAUUUGACUGCUCAAGAAACCUAUUCCAUAAAUUUGCCCCUUUAUAUGCGAAAUUGUGAGAUGAGUGUGGUGUCACAAAUCUGUCAUCUCUGAGCUCAGACUUCUUAAAGAGAGAAUACAUGGAUAUGGGCUGAUGACUCUUCACUAUCUUCAUUGUUUCAGUAAUGCAUCUGUAUCUAUAUAUGUUAUGUACUGUCAUUAGUUCCUUAGAUUGGAAAAUAGGUUUUGUUGAUUCUCUAGAGUGGAAUUCUGCCCCAAGUAUUUGGCAGCGAUGUGGCCUUGCUUGUUUAUCACCAGUCUUCCUCAAGCUGAUACAUAUAGAACACGGUUUAAUGUGAGGUAUAGUUGAUUCAUUGGAUAUUUGACCUUUCUUGUUUAUACUGCACUGGAUUGGCCUGCUACGAGAACAAGUUUUAAACUUGUCGCUAAAUGCUUCCGAGUCCCCAAAUAAGAUUCGGACACAUUUCUUCUGUGCAAGGAAUAGUGGUGAAAGCUUAUUAAUUGAUACACCACCCCAUACAGUUAUACCGUAUCCUAGAUGAGAUUCAAAAAGAGUGUGGUAUAUCUGUUUGUACAGCUGGCUGGGGAGGGAGUUUUUUAUUCGAUAAAUACGGCCACAUAUGCUGUUUAAUUUCUUAGUUAGUUUCUCGAUAUGAGGUGUCCAACUCAGUUUGUCAUCAAUAAUUACACCUAGAAAUUUCGUUUCAGUAACCUGUUUGAUCGGGAUCCCAUCAAUUUCUAGAUUCAAGUCAUUUUCAGUAUUAUCAAUGGUCUUACGUUUAGUAGGCGAGAAGUACAUGUAACAAGAUUUUUUAACAUUAAUGUGCAGUAGGUUAUGGCGCAUAUAUUGGCACACAGAGUCGAGAAUUUCAUUCGCUAUUUUGUAUGCUUGUUCCUUAGUUUCAGCAGCUACAAAGAUGUUUGUGUCAUCUGCAAAUAGUACAAAUUUUCCUAAUGUACUACAUCUAUAGAUGUCAUUUAUAUAGAUAAGAAAAAGCAAGGGGCCCAAAACGGAUCCUUGAGGUACGCCUAGUUUAACUGGGAGAGGCUCUGAUUCUUCACCAAGUACACUAACAUACUGGUAUCUAUUAUUUAGAUAGCUGGAGAGCAGCUUUAGUGCGUUUCCUCUAACUCCGUAAUUACUAAGUUUCUUAAGUAGCAUAUCAAAUGGUAAGGUAUCAAAUGCUUUAGAGAGAUCGAUAAAUAUUCCUAAUACGUGGUUUUUAUUAUUCCGUUUUUCUUCGACGUGAUUUACGGAGUAGUUAAGAGCAUGACUUGUCGAGUGGUUUUUUCUAAAGCCGAACUGAUUUUCGAAUAUUAUUCCUCGAGAUAAGAAAAAGUUGUAUAAUCUACUGUAAAUAAUUUUUUCAAAUAUUUUACCAAAUACUGGUAAUGUUGAUACUGGCCUGUAAUUCUCUAGUAAUUCCUCAUCUUCUUUUUUAUAUAUCGGGGUUAUCUUACCCGUUUUCAGUUGAUCAGGGAAGACACCUUCAUUCAUGCAGUUGUUAUAAAUUCUGGCAAGAUGUUCUGAUAUAGUUUGACUACACUGCUUCAUUACAUGUGCCGGUAUGUCGCUAGCUUUACCGUUAUUAAAUUCACUUAUAAUUUGUAUUAUUUCAGAGCUUGUACAUUCAGCAAGAUAAAUACUUGACGGACAGGACUGUGGCAAGUAGUCAGUGAAUGAUUUAGCAAUUAUAGGAUCUUCAUCAAUCCUCCUCUCAUAGACCUCGUUCAGAUUGGAGGCGAUUGACACAAAGUACUUGUUAAAUUCAUGAGCAAUAACUCGUCGACAAAUAACACGCUCAUUGUUUAUCAUGAAUGACGGUUUCAUUUGCUUAUUUUGCUUUCCUCGCACUUUAUUAAUUAACUGCCAGGUUUUUUUACUGUCACCCUGACACUCCUCAAUUUUGUUGCACGUGUAGAGGCGUUGAGCUAGUCUUAUUACGUGUUUAACUCUCCUACGUUUGUCAGUAAAAUUAGCAUGCUUUUCCCUGGCAUCAUUACAAGGAUUGCAGUGACAGGCUUCCUUGAUCUCACGACAAAGUUUACCUGGAUUAUGCAAACAUUUUUCUCUCUUCGCUUUAUGCCAGUGGUCGUGCAGCUCAUGUUUUUUAUUUAUAGACGCGAUUAAUCCUCCUGUUAUCCACGGAUUUGUCAUUGGCGUUCUUUUGGAGACUUUAGGUUUACUGAGUUUACAUGAUUUGUCUAGAUUCGUUUUGAAUGUGUCGUGAAAUUCAAUAAAGUUUUUUGGUGGGUGCUCAGAGAAAUGUUGGUUUAAGGAUGAAACAAGGACUCGAACGUUGGAUUCACUGUAAUCAUAAUAUUGGGUAUGUUUAACUUGAGGUUCAGAGUUAGUUACAGCUAGGUCUUCAAAAAUAUGAAAAACUGGCAGAUGAUGCGAGAUUCUGUCAGAUACUGUACCUGAGGCAACAACCUUGUUUAUAUCAUUUGUGUAAAUGUUGUCAAUACACGUUUGAUUACAUCCCGGCUUCUCGUGCGUGUGUGUUGAUAUAAGAGGCGAGAAACCGGCACUAAACAUUAUCUCCUCGAGAUUGCUAACUUCUUUACUAUUAACAUGGAGGUUGACGUUAAAAUCUCCCAUUAUAUACGCAGAUUUUUUAGGCAAUAUCUGGAGUAUUCUAGAUAGUUCUGUCAGGAAGCUUGCAAAAUUACCGCUGGGUGGUCGGUAAAUAACCCCAAAAGUUACUUCUUCUGAGUUUUUACGACUAGUUACGAAUAGUGAUUCUAAAUUCUCGGUAACGUCUGACGCAAGUUCGUUCACAAUACUGCUAAGUCUAUCUUGAACAUAUAAUGCUACACCAGUUCCUUUGGAUUUAUUACCUACAGUAUUCUGGUAAAAACUAUUGUAGUUAGGAAUUGAAUACACGGUGCUUUCAUCAGGACCUAUGUUAGUUUCUGAUAAACCUAUUACGGUGAAGUUUUGGUUAAUGCGGUGCAGUUCAGUUAAUAGACUAUCAAAAUUGCUUUUAUUGCCAUCAAUGUUAAGAAAGUAGGAGCUGGAAAACUUUUUAAGAUUUUCUCCAUGCGAUGAGUUGAUUUCAUUAGCAGAAUAAGCUUGGCAUUUGUCUAAGAUUGAGGAUAUUUUAUAUGUUUCGUCAUGUGCAUCUGGUGAGGUUGUGUCAUCUACAAAGUGUUUGAAGGGAUUAUACUUGUGUACUAUUUUAUCUUUGCACGAAAAGCAGUAGAAGUUGUCAUUAAUAAUUUGUGCUUUUGAUUGCGAAAAACACUUUGAGUGGGCAAUACAAUUACAUCUACUGCACUCAAACAUCGGCUGACCUAUGUAAACGUUUUUCAGGCAAUGGUUACAGUUUUCUCUCAAAAUUUUGUUGAUCAUACCUGACGACCAUCAGGACUAGUGCAACAAAUCAAGUCUACCGCGGUUAUCAAGUUUCUUCGACAGCCUCUCAGACAGCAACAUGUUGCGAUCUAAGAAGUCAUCGAGACCGCGGACAUGUGAUACACCCAAACCAGGCUGAUCCAAAUCACGGAAUAUACAUUGUUGAUACCACAAGAUACUACGAUGUUGUUGUAGCCACAGCACCACUCAGGCUUGAUGUCCUCCAUUGUAGCGGCCCAGAACCGUUGACCCGGCA